UCAGAAAAGUGACAAAGUUAAAAACUGGGCCAAUUUACAGUGAAUUUUAAGACUGUAUAAUGCAGCCUUUCAAAUCUAGAACUCUAAAAUGAAUCACUAGUUCAAUGUAUUAUUAUGUAAACUUAAUUUCCUCUUAAGCACAGCUUUGGAUCUUAUUUUCAAAGUGACUAAUAUAUAAGAAAGGUCAUGAAAGUUGUACAUGGACCUUGACUUCAGAGAUAAUGAGUGCCUCAUCUACUAAGUCGUGCUGUGAUCACAUUAGGCAAGUAUAACGUUCCAGUCAAGAAAAAGCUGAUGAUUGGGGAAGCCAGCUACCAUAUCGAACAGCUGUAUGAAGCCUGUGUGGUAAGGAACUGAGGCUCCUGAUAAGAGGCAGCAGGAACUGAGGCCCUUGCCAAAAGUCAUUGGAUUGAGCCAUCUUGGAAGCAGAUCUUCUAUCCCUAAUCAACACUUCAGAUGACUGCAGCCCUGGAGGCCAGAUUAACUGCAACCUCAAGAAAGUCCCUAAGCCAGGACCAGCCAGCCAAGCUACUCCUAUAUUCCUUGAC
Molecule: long non-coding RNA, 548 nt
Organism: Pan troglodytes (chimpanzee)
Lineage: Eukaryota; Metazoa; Chordata; Mammalia; Primates; Hominidae
Exons: 3
Source: RefSeq, a predicted model, not a curated record